GACGAACCGUGCGAACGUUGUUCGGAAUCACUGGGCUUAAAGGGCGCGUAGGCGGCUCUGUUGGUCGUGGGUGAAAUCCCCCAGCUUAACUGGGGAACUGCCUACGAUACCGCGGAGCUCGAGGGAGGAAGGGGCGGCCGGAACUGUCGGUGGAGCGGUGAAAUGCGUUGAUAUCGACAGGAACGCCGGUGGCGAAAGCGGGCCGCUGGCCCUCUUCUGACGCUGAGGCGCGAAAGCCAGGGGAGCGAACGGG
RNAcentral lists this ribosomal RNA (253 nucleotides) under uncultured bacterium. RNAcentral's name for it is "partial 16S ribosomal RNA". It matches the Rfam family "Bacterial small subunit ribosomal RNA", at positions 524 to 776 of the family's 1533-position model. The record is from RNAcentral.